Tupaia belangeri chinensis (Chinese tree shrew) is the source of this 390-nucleotide long non-coding RNA. RefSeq lists it as uncharacterized. Lineage: Eukaryota; Metazoa; Chordata; Mammalia; Scandentia; Tupaiidae. The transcript is spliced from 3 exons. The record is from RefSeq and is a predicted model, not a curated record.
UGGUGUGAUUUUCAGGCUACCAGUCAGAGACUCAAAUCACCAUAUGGCCAGGUGGGAUCUAGCACCUUAACCACAACACUCCCUGCUAUUAAAUGACAGGCCAGCAUGCACACAGAGAGAUCAUAGCUCCAGAAAGCUUCCUAUCCUGAAGUUCUACACCAUCCAGCCCAUGACCAAGACCACCGUAUUACAGAGAUCAUCCUAACAAUUCUGAUUUAAAUGGCCAGAGAAAAAGCACAGGAAUCAACAUUUUGGGAGAAAAAAAAAAGCAUAGAAAUAAACUUUUCAGGCUCAGCCACAUUUGUUGGCAUAGUGCAGUGCUCUGGAGCUGCUUAUGGAAGAUUGGAGUUCAGUUUCCCCCCCAGCCUGUAUGCGCCAGCCUGUGAUCCC